ACUUAUACAGGGUAGCAUAAUGGGCUACUGAACCGCCCCGGGACCAAUCUCGGGACUAUAAGU
This 63-nucleotide non-coding RNA is filed under the name Mesoplasma florum L1. Its description in RNAcentral is "2dG-I riboswitch aptamer (M. florum)". It matches the Rfam family "2dG-I riboswitch aptamer (M. florum)". Lineage: Bacteria; Bacillati; Mycoplasmatota; Mollicutes; Entomoplasmatales; Entomoplasmataceae. The record is from Rfam by way of RNAcentral.